This 465-nucleotide ribosomal RNA is filed under the name Vreelandella stevensii. RNAcentral's name for it is "partial 16S ribosomal RNA". It matches the Rfam family "Bacterial small subunit ribosomal RNA", at positions 338 to 795 of the family's 1533-position model. The record is from RNAcentral. Lineage: Bacteria; Pseudomonadati; Pseudomonadota; Gammaproteobacteria; Oceanospirillales; Halomonadaceae.
CCUACGGGAGGCUGCAGUGGGGAAUAUUGGACAAUGGGCGAAAGCCUGAUCCAGCCAUGCCGCGUGUGUGAAGAAGGCCUUCGGGUUGUAAAGCACUUUCAGUGGGGAAGAAAGCCUUGGGGCUAAUACCCUCGAGGAAGGACAUCACCCACAGAAAAAGCACCGGCUAACUCCGUGCCAGCAGCCGCGGUAAUACGGAGGGUGCGAGCGUUAAUCGGAAUUACUGGGCGUAAAGCGCGCGUAGGCGGUCUGAUAAGCCGGUUGUGAAAGCCCCGGGCUCAACCUGGGAACGGCAUCCGGAACUGUCAGGCUAGAGUGCAGGAGAGGAAGGUAGAAUUCCCGGUGUAGCGGUGAAAUGCGUAGAGAUCGGGAGGAAUACCAGUGGCGAAGGCGGCCUUCUGGACUGACACUGACGCUGAGGUGCGAAAGCGUGGGUAGCAAACAGGAUUAGAUACCCCGGUAGUC